Molecule: long non-coding RNA, 1108 nt
Filed under: Mytilus galloprovincialis (Mediterranean mussel)
Lineage: Eukaryota; Metazoa; Mollusca; Bivalvia; Mytilida; Mytilidae
Source: RNAcentral
UCGGAAUUAGUCAAACAUUGUUUUCAGUGUUUCCAGAGUUGGCUUUUUGCAUACCUGUCUUAGACCGAGUACAUUUAAAAUUUAUAAUUCGAGACAAUGUAUAGUUUUCUUUACAUACUAUUACUGCACAUCCUAUAACUGCCCAAAAUGAAAUACUUAGGGUAAAAACCAUCAUUAUGUUAAAUCAAAGCGGAUGACGUAAAAUUUCCGCGUCCCUUUAUUUUUUAUUGACGGGAAAAAUAAAACUCAACGGAAAUGCAUUGUCAACGCCAUUAACAAGGCAAAUGGAUAUAUAGUCAAUGCAAUUUGACUGCACAAAUAGCAAAGUUGCAGUAAAUAGGGACAUAUAUUCAGUCUUCAAAAUACAUUAGAAUAACACCCUUUUUACUCGGGUGCGGAACUGUUAAAAAAUGAAGUAGGCGUUAAACAUGUCGAAAUGAUCCUCCCCUUGUGUAAAAAAGGCACCUGAAGUCGGAACCCCUCUCCCUUUUAAUGUUUGAACACAGACACCCGACGUCUUUCUGCGAUUUUGCUGGUAUCUCCUAGUAGUUUUAAAAAUAAAUACCUUUACCGGUGAUAAAUUUUGACAUCGGAUUAAUUUUCACAGGAAUGAUAUCUAUAACUAUUUAGUAUCUAAGUUAUUUACAAUUGUGGUCCAAAUAUUGGAUGACGCCAUAUCUAACAAGUUCUUAACAGUAUUUAAUUUUCAUUCCAUUGAUAUCUUAUACGCUAUCUAUAGAGUGCCUAUAUGCCAUUUUGGUUUUCAUUGUUGUGUAAUAAUUGCGUGUUCUAUAGUGUUAAGAUUCAUUACAGUUUUUGAGCUUUCGAUUUUAUCAUUCUAUAAAGGACUUUUUGUUUUGAAUUUUCCUAGGAGUUCGGUACUUUUGUUAUUUUACCUUAUUUUACCUUAUAAUAAUAUUGUUAGUUUUAAAUUCAAUUGUUUAUAAAAUUAUUAGAAAUUGCACAUAAUUCUGAAUAUGUGGUAUGGUCAUUAUGGUUUUUUUCAAAUGUGAAUCAUACUAUGAUUUUCCUCCUUAGAAUUACUGUAAAGAACGAAUUAAAGAACAAAAGAUUAAGAAACAAUAUCGAUAAAACUCAAAGUUUUCUU